GUCUAUGCUCUGUUUAGGUCUCCAAAAUCGCACCCUAGGCUUCUGGUCGCAUCUGACUUUUAUAGACAAAGAAUUAGGGUUUCAGAAAAGUCCACCAUCGUGCCACGUUUCGCGUCCAUCGUGGCACGAUUCCUUCAUUAAUCUGAAGUGGCAGCAAAUUUACUAAACCAUCGUGGCACGUUACAUAUCCAUCGUGCCACGAUUUUUCCAGUAUCUUCAGGUAAAUUCUACGCUUCAAACGUGCCACAAUUCAGGUCCAUCGUAGCACGAUCCAAUAGCUAAAUUCUUUGAUUUUUCUCCAAUUUGUGCAAAAUUUCUCUUUUAUGAAUCUUGAGUGGAUUUAACCAUGUAUGCAAGCAUUUGACUCUCAAAACAUUACAAAAAGGACACAAAUAUGACUAAAAAACUAGUAAUGAUGUACUGUCAUCACUUACACGGUUCUCAUCUAGCCUCGGGAUCCAUGUUCCUUCAAACCUCGCUUUAAACAGUUGGUUGCUAAUUUGGUUGGAAAAGAAAGAUAUGCUCGGUUCACAAUUAUUCUACACUAUUCUUUGGAAAAUGUGGUUUUAUAGAAACCAAGUGGUGUUUAAUCAAAUCCGUCCCUACCACCCUGAUGUCGCUAAUGCAGCGCUAGAUUUUAUUGUUGAAUUUAAUCGCACCGUGCCAAAGAAGGGGAGUCAGUUGCAGCCACACAU
Molecule: long non-coding RNA, 695 nt
Filed under: Medicago truncatula (barrel medic)
Lineage: Eukaryota; Viridiplantae; Streptophyta; Magnoliopsida; Fabales; Fabaceae
Description: long non-coding RNA (MTRU_LNC007161)
Source: RNAcentral